AACCCAUGGUGUGGACAGGCUCUUAGAAGUUCUUUUUAUCUCUCCCAAGUGUCAAAAAAUGAUUCACCCUCUUGUUGCGUGAAUCUGGUUAUUUAGUUUCGUAGAAU
This is a small nucleolar RNA of Lathyrus oleraceus (garden pea), 107 nucleotides long. NCBI's taxonomy places the organism in Eukaryota, Viridiplantae, Streptophyta, Magnoliopsida, Fabales, Fabaceae. The record is from RefSeq and is a predicted model, not a curated record.